Small nuclear RNA from Lagenorhynchus albirostris (white-beaked dolphin), 107 nucleotides. Lineage: Eukaryota; Metazoa; Chordata; Mammalia; Artiodactyla; Delphinidae. The record is from RefSeq and is a predicted model, not a curated record.
UUGCUUCAGCAGCAAAUAUACUAAAAUUGGAAUGAUACAGAAUUGGAAGAUUAGCAUGACCCCUGCACAAUGAUGAUAUGCAAAUUCUUGAACCAUUCCGUAUUUUU